GUCUGUGCUCUCCCCGUGCUCUCUCUCCUCCUGUCUGAACCUCUGUACUUCCUGUUUUACUUUGACAGUCUCCCAUCAGUGUUGCGUUUACUCCUGCCAUGUCUUGUUAUGAUUAUCAGUGUCAGCUGUGUUCCCCGUGUGCUCCCACUUCCCUCGUUAACCCUCUGUGUAUUUAUGUCUGCGUCUCCCUCAGUUCUGUGUCGCGUUCUCCCUCAUAGCUGUGUGUGAUUCUCCCCGUGUCUCCUAGUGUACAUUAUAAUUAGCUUUUCCACGUUUAGUUUGUAUGGUUUUUCUGUCCAGCAAUAAAGCUGUGUUUCCAGGUCAUUCCUGCCUCCAUGAGCUUGCGUUUGGGUCCUCAUCCUGCCUGCACACAGCCUAACCAUGACAUAAGUGGUGCCCAACAUCAUUUCCUGUGUCGGAAAAACUCAGAAACUGGUGUGCUUCUGUCUAUUCACAGUAUGUACUAAUUCAAGACAAAGGUAUUCAUAUUUGUACAUGUAUGUAUGUUAGUUUCAAUAGUUCCGUGUUGCAACAGCCAGUAAAAAUGACAGAAAAAAACUUUUUGACAUUUGACAUGUACUCUCAUUCAAAGGUCUAACCACAUUGUAAAGUACAAAUGAAGUUAGCCCCUCUGUGUUUGUGGUUUGGUCUGCUGCUACUUCCUGUUUGAUGCUGAUGAUUAAAAACUGCCUGACUGAAAGAAACAGACGGUGAAAGCUGCUCAAAUACUUUCACCCACCAAGAUGUCUGCAGACAGUCAGACUGCAGCAGAUUUUAGAGUGAAAUACAGCAGAAGGAUCGACAGUGAUGGACGAGAGCAAGAGUACAGUGAGGUUGAGAUGCUAGAUGAUGAAGAACAACAUCCUGAUGUUGGGCUGCAGGCAGCUGAAUUAAACAUCCAGAUGAAGCUUUCAGCUGUGAAAAGAAGAUGGUUCAGAGCUUUUGAAGUGAAUCUUGGGCUGCUGUAUCUUUUGAUUCUGGCUGGAAUCACCGCACGAUAUAGAAGCCUGGACAAGAAACAUGAAGCCAGCACAGAAGAACCAAAAACUGCAGUUCCUUUAAUGACCACUGGAGGCUGAUUCUGAAAGCGAGUCAGUCCCCACAGACUCCCAUGUUAAAAUGAGCACCUUUCCAGCAUUAAAAGCAGGUUUCCAUUCAUUCAUACAAAAUGAGUUUUGGUCUCUGAGGAUAGUUUCCCCUCUUCAUAAAUGGAUUUUAAUGGAUUCUAUUUAAAUGCAUUUUAAAUGCAUUUCUCUGAUCAAUAAUAUGAGCUGCUGUGUGGUACAGCCUGACCAACAUGUUGUUUUGGUGACUGAGCUUCUAGUAUUUCAUGAGUCUGUUACUUAGUAUUGAAUGCAUUGAUUGAUUGAGCGGUUAAGAGAUGGUCCAGUGUGUGUGACGAGUUAUCUACUGCUCUCUGUUGUUAUUCUGUUUUGUUGUUAGUUCUGUGCGUCUUUCAUAAUGUCAACUCAUUACUGACCUAUCAUUGCUAAGCUCUCCUGGCCCUUCAUCCGUCUACUGCAAAAUGUCUGCACUGUCGACAAGAAAGACUUCAUUUCUUAACCCUGCUCUUGGCUGGAGUACAAGCUUACCUUUGCCAGGAACCACACCCAUCUCGCUGGAGAAGACGCCACUGAUGUCCUGGCGAGCAGCUAGUGAGGCUCCUAGACUUUUUACAUCCUGGUGUUCCCUGGACCCUGUUGGAGCAGGUGCUCUAUCCCACUCGACCCACUCCCCUUCAUCUGGUGUCAGCCUUAGGAAUCUGCGGCAUAUUGCACAGAUUUCACCUACUUCUCCCACUACUGCUUCCUCCUACUGACGUGGUACCCAUUAGAAUAAGUCUGGUGAAUUUAAGGUCCAUCGUGAACAAAACUUUUAUCCUUAAGGAAUGUUUCACGUCCCAGAGUUUGGACCUUCUCUGCGUGACUGAAACACAGAUCUCUCCGGGUGAGUCCAUUGUUUUUUCAGAAUUAUUACCCUACUGUCACUCAUACUUUAAUACCCUGAGGUCCUGGGUCAUGGAGGAGUUUUGGCGACUGUUUAGAAAUUAAAUUUUGACUGUAAGUAGCUGUCCCUUCCAACUGUUUUCUCCAGCUUUGAACCUUUUUCGAGUUGAGGCUCUUUCCUCCGCUGCUGUGCACAGCGAUCUAUUGGUAACCAAAGUACAACAAAGAUUUUUUGUGGGAAUUUUCUUAUGUCAAAAUAUGAGGAAGUUUUAAUUGUUGGGGGCGUUAAUAUUCACAUGUGCUACUCUGGGAAGCCUCUCGUGAAAGACCUCUUAGACUUAUUGGACUCCUUUGGCCGCACUCAGUCAGUGAACGGCCCAACCCAUGAAUGUACCCACACACUGGACCUUGUUUUAUCUUAAGGUUUAUCCAGUUGUAAUUUGAAAAAUUGUUAUGCAGUGUUUUCAGACCACAUUCCCUUUAUUCAAACUGUUAAACCCUUUGCUCUUGCUCUGUGCUGCUGUGAUUUUAACCCUUCCACGGCUGCUCAUGUCUCCACUGUUUUUAAUAAUUUAGACUUGCAGCCCUCUGUGUCUUCCAGCACUGAGGAGCUUUCCGUGUAUUUUAAUUCCUUGUGGCCCCAAUUAAAACCAGGCGAUCAAAGCCCAGAUCAGACCCUUGGUUAAGUGACCAUACCCGUGCCAUCAGAUGGGAGUACCGGAGAAAUGAGUAAAAGUUGAAAAAGGACAAACUGCAAGUCUCUUCCGAGAGACUGAGUGAUAGGUUUGUAGAUUAAACCUAUUCGCUGGAACGUUCAAGACAAUUCAACUACACAGCAAAAAGCAUUGAACACCAAGCAGAGCUCUUUAUGAUUCUCGUAUACGAGGGAGACCAACUGGACAAACGCCGUUCCUUCGCUUGACCCCAGUUGCUGUCGUCCACUCCCCCGUAACACUGAUCUUUUAUUGAGGUUACACGAAUAUACAUAGGUUCAUUAACAUAUGACGUAUACAUACACAGGCAUACACGUGAACAAAAGUGUAUGUUGUGUGUGUGUGUGUGUGUGUGGGGGGGGGUCAAGAUGUGAACCUGUGAAGACUCCCCAAAGCUGGUGCCAGGAGUCUAGCAGUCCAUCUAAACAAAAGGCUCUUAUACUUAACCAGAUACAGAGUAGGUGUCCUCCUAUACCAUAAAUCAGUAAGAGCAGAUAUAACCUCUCCUGACCUUAAGUUGUGUGUGCCGGCCAGAGUGCUCUGGGAGGCACACAGUCUCCACAGACUAUUAAGGAUCAAACCUCUACCAACAUGACAUUGAUUAUAAAACUCUAAGCAUAUAUGAGUAGAUAUUUCUAAGCAUAAAUGACAAUCAACAAUACAAAUCUAACACUAAGAGCUGGUGUUGUUUUCAAAGAACUGCAAAAACUGCUAGAGCAAUAUAUUUUUCAGGUUUUCAGAAACCUGACACUGACCCUUCUGCUUUGUCUAACUUCAGACCGAUCAUCAUUGGCUUUCCCCCCCCCCAAAUCUUGUGAAAGAUUGUGUACACCCAGCUGAAGGCCUUCCUGGAUGAAUGUAAAAUUUUGGAGGAGUUCCACUUUGGAUUUUAAACAAACCACAGCACUGAAUCUGCUCUUUUAAGGGGUUUCAUGACAUAUUUUUUAGCAAUGUUUUCUGGGAACAGAGUUUAACUUGUGCUUUUAAAUUUACAGCUGAUGACCAUGACAUUCUCAUCUCCAGACUGGCGUAGUGGGUUCAGUUCUGCAAUGGUUUAGAUCUGACCUCUCUGACAGGAGUUUCUGUAUCAUGAUGGAUGAUGAUCUCUGGUUCCGCUGCCCUCCCCUGGGGGUACCUCAGGGUUCCAUUCUUUGUCCUCUACUGUUCUCUCUGUAUUUGCUGCCACUUGGUGCUAGUUUUAGAAAGCAUUGUUUCAUUUAUAUGCUAAUGACUGUCAAGUCUAUUUCCCUUUCAGACACAGUGGUUCUCUUCAGCCUCUCCUUGAUUAUCUCAAUGACAUCAGGGGGUGGAUGGCACAGAAUUUUCUCAAUUUUAAUGAAAAAAAGACCGAGGUCAUGCUUUUUAAAUCCAGUACCUCCAGCUGUAUCCCUGCCUUUGACCUUUCCUCUUUGGCUCCGCAUGAAAAAUCCAGAAUCACCAAUUUAGUUGUGAAAAUGGACAGCAGCCGAAAACCUGACUGGCAUGUCAAUGCUGUGGUUAAGUCCUCCAUCUUUCAGUUGAGACGGCUGUCAAAAAUUAAGCCCAUCCUGUCUAGAUGCCACCUAGAGACACUGCUGCAUGAUUUUAACAAGAACAAGAGCACAUAACCAUGGUUUUAGUGUACGUUCACUGGUUUACCGUUCAGUUUCAAAUCCAUUUUAACAUUAUUUUAUUUCUUUUUAAGUCUCUUGGUCUUAAUAGUCUGUACGUGUGCAUGAUUCCUGGCUCAUAUCUUGUGUAUGUUGUGGAGGUGGAGUGAAUGUUCUUGUUGUUCCUUCAAACUCUUCACUCAACACGGUGAUUCUGUGAUUAUAUCAACAAAGCAGACAGGCAGCAGCAUCUGCUGCAGACUGAUGCAGGUGCAGUCACACUAUGUUAGACAGUGACGUCUGUCAUUGUGCCGGCAAAUUAGUUCACUUGGUGUAUUGAGUAGCUAGCAAGUCAGCAUGUGUUAGUUCUAUUCAUGUGAUGGGAAUGAAAAACACAAAACUUCAUUGAUAAAAUGCUUUAAAACUUUAAAUCAGUUUCCUGUUUUGUUUCUAACCAGAUAUUUUAGUCAAUUUGGAAAAAGAGCAUCUCCAGGCUAAUCGUUCAAUGAAAAUAAUUCAAUUAAAGCAAGAAAUCAAGUUGCUAAAGGAGAAGAUCAAAGAGAAGUGUCCUGAUCGAUGGACAAGAUUUGGAAGCAGCUGUUACUUUAAAUCCACUGAGAGUAAAACUUGGUCUGACAGCAGGAGAGACUGUCAGGAUAAAGGAGCUGAUCUGGUGAUGAUAAACAGCAAAGAGGAACAGAUAUUUAUCAAUGAACUGAACAUGAGAGGAGAGUCCUGGACUGGUCUGACAGGCAAAAAGACAUCAGUAGGAUAUAAAUGGGAAUGGGUGGACGGAUCAGCUGUGAAUGAAACGUUGUGGGCACCAGCACAGCUGAGUACGAGUUAUGAUUCCUACGGAGUCUGCUGUGACGAUAAUGGGAAGUUGAAACAAGCAGUUGAACAUUAUGUUGGUUACAGCUCUAAGACCUUCAUCUGUGAGAAAUGAGUUUGGUGCUUGGAUGUAAAUGUUUGAAUAAUCCAACCAAAGACACCUCACUAUGAAAUGUCCUGCAUGAGCCUCAGACUCAGCUCACAGUUGUUACUUGUUCAUUCUGCAUCAUAUAUUGAUUACAUAUAUUGUCCCUCUGUGCUCUGUGCUGUACAGUAAGGUUGGAAGUCAUCCACACAAAAACUUGAAGUACUUCAUUACUCUGUAGUUCCAGCAAAUUGUUCUAAUAAAAGUCAAAGUGCAGCUUGUCUUUGCUUUGGUUUACUUGGUUUAUUCAUCAGUCUGUUGGUCCUAAAACUACAGUAAAUGUCUUCUUCAGUUUCUCUCAAUCAGCUGAAAGUAGCUGCUUCUUAUUAUUAGCUAUAAAUUUUGACAGGAGAUUGAAAUGAAGAA
Oreochromis aureus is the source of this 5590-nucleotide RNA transcript. It is a transcript of the gene named CD209 antigen-like protein E, with no coding region annotated. The transcript has 7 exons. The record is from RefSeq and is a predicted model, not a curated record. Lineage: Eukaryota; Metazoa; Chordata; Actinopteri; Cichliformes; Cichlidae.